UACGUAGGACCCAAGCGUUAUCCGGAGUGACUGGGCGUAAAGAGUUGCGUAGGCGGCUUAUUAAGUGGAUAGUGAAACCUGGUGGCUCAACCAUACAGACUAUUAUCCAAACUGGUAAGCUCGAGAAUGGUAGAGGUGGCUGGAAUUUCUAGUGUAGGAGUGAAAUCCGUAGAUAUUAGAAGGAACACCGAUGGCGUAGGCAGGCCACUGGACCAUUUCUGACGCUAAGGCACGAAAGCGUGGGGAGCGAACCGG
This 255-nucleotide ribosomal RNA is filed under the name uncultured bacterium. RNAcentral describes it as "partial 16S ribosomal RNA". It matches the Rfam family "Bacterial small subunit ribosomal RNA", at positions 524 to 776 of the family's 1533-position model. The record is from RNAcentral.